CUCAAAACCCUGUACAUUUAGUUUGAUUUUCAUUGAUUAUAUUGAACGUAUAUUAAAAUGUUACUUAUAUAUAAAGAUUGAUUUAUAAACCCAAUUAAUUCAAUUGAAUAUAAAUGAAUGAUGAAGUGCUACAAAUACCAUACGUAACCCAUUUUAUGUUGUGUGGCAAAAUGGCUUACGAAAACAAUUUUGUCAACAUCUUUGGAACUUUUACCGCUGUUCUAGCUCUGAAUUUCAUAUUUUUUGCUAAAAUACAAAGUAUGGAGUAAUCAAGGCCUCAUUUAAGUGUAAUGGCUUCUGUUUAGGGCCAUCUUAUUGGCCUCGUCUUAGACAUCUGAUCUGAAUAAGUCUCUACCUGCAAAAACACACACAAAUGAGUAAUCCACUGCCCCUGCCAUUUGCUGAUUGCACAAGGAGAUGCCACUCCAAAAAACAUGGUGACAACAUAACAAGUGUGCUGUCAAAAUGUAACUUAAAGCAGUUUCAAGCGUACUUUGGUUUUUGCCACAACACUGCUACACAAGUGGAUUGUUAUGGCAGGAAUGCGCUGCAUGUGGCUUCAUCAUGUGGGAAAUGGGAGAUUGUUGCAUGGCUCUUAAUUGAGAAGGGGGUUGAUACUAGCACAAAGGAUGCAGAGUCUCACUGGUCAGCUUUGCAUCGAUCCUUAUUCUAUGGUCAACUAUCCUGUGCCAGAAUUCUCAUAUCGCAUGGUGCCAGUAUUCACAGUCAAGAUAGAGAGAAACAUACACCUAUUGACCAACUAGUCCUAGAUAGACCACCUUAUGUAGACAUAUCCAUCAAUGGCAAAACUGAUGUGUAUACUUGGGGAGACAACACAAAUUUCACACUAGGGCAUGGUAAUGAGAUGAGACAUCAUACACCAAACCUGGUUGACACUUUCACCAAGGCAAAGCUAUCUGUUGUCCAAGUUGAGUUACUGAAAUUUCACUCAGUGUUCCGUACGAGUUGCGGUAGAGUGUUCACAUGUGGUCAUGGGAGAGGAGGCCGCCUGGGCCACAUGGAUGAGCAGACAAAGCUUGUGCCAAAGGAAGUGCCAUUGGAAGAGAAGAUCUCCUUUGUUGCAGCAGGAAGGGAUAACACUGCAUUUUUAACAGAGUCAGGGCUUGUGUUUACAUGUGGAUUGAACACAUACCAUCAACUGGGACUGAAUCCUCCUCCAAGUCAUAGUUUACUCCCUAAACAGGUUGUGUGCAAACUGUGGAAGGGUAAACAUAUUGAGGGCAUAGCUGUUGGACGGUUUCAUACUGCCGUACACACAAAUACAUCCGUCUACACAUUUGGCUUGAAUGCAGGGCAAUUAGGUCAUCAGAAAGGAGAGAAGUUGCAGAGUCAGCCGAGGAUUGUCUCUCCACUCAACCACAAAGACAUCAUGAUUUCUAGCAUCACUUGUUCAGAUGGCGCAACUAUAGUUAUCACCAAAAAAGGCGAAGUGUUUGUUUUACAUGAAUAUCAAUGCCGUAAGAUCACAACAAGGCUACUUGACAUAAAGAAUGUGUGCUGUACAGGGGGGCACCUAGACCUGAAGUCUGCAGGGGAUAUACAGGGGGACACAUCCAACAAUGAACUCAUUAUAUGUUUCCUCACACAUUCAAAGCGGGUUUUUUUGUGGAAGAGCUCUGAUCCUACUUUGAGGAGAUGUACCUGGUCCUUGGGUGGCGAUCUAGCCAUCUGUGACAUCAGCCUCACCAUAUAUGGCAUGGUGAUUGUGACAGACACAGGACAGGCCUAUAUUGGUCACAGGUCAACUAAGUUAAAAGUGAAAGAAAGUGCAGUGUCCCCUCAGAAAGAUGGCAUUCAGGUGUUGAGUUCCAUUGGUUCUAUGGUUGACUGGCAGUUGGAGGCAGACGAUGCAGAACUUGUCAAUCUUCAACGGGUGCUCUAUGUACACAGGGCAGUGGCUGUCACUGCUGAUAAGAAAGGAAGAAAUUUUGCAGUAGUACAAUCCCAUCAUUCCUCUAGUCUCACUGAGCUUCCUAACGUGUCUUCAUCUGAGAUUUCUCAGCAUUUCAAAACUCUGAUGUCAGAGGCUGAUUCCUAUGAUGUCAUACAUGAUGUCACCAUCCAGGUGGAAAAUGAAACUAUUUUUGCUCACAAGUUCAUCCUUGCAUCAAGGAGUGAAUAUUUUAAGAAGCUUUUUACCUCCAAAACUGAAGAGUUCUUGACAGAUGCAAAAACAGCAUUAACAUUAGAAAACACAAGCUUAGAUAUAUUUUUACAAUUGUUGACAUUUUUAUACACAGAUAAUUGUGAUUUGUUGACACCUGGUGCCAUAGUAACAAUAGCAAAACAAACUCAUAGCAAUGAAAAAAGCAACAAGGCACAGCCAGUGGAAGAUAUACCAAGGAGUAAAAAUGGCAAACCAAUAUCAGCUCAUCAAUAUAACCAGAAAUUAAAGAAAUUCUCUCAAAAAGAUGGAAAAGUGGAAGAAAUAAAUAAGUCAAAGAGCUCAAAUCCAACAAAAUUAUUGCAAGAAAUGGCAAAAAGAUUUGGAGUGAAAAGCUUAGUGAAAAGGUUAGAUGCUGUUUGUUGGAAUGAUGGAACUGUUACCUUGGGGACCAAUAAACAUCUGACUCCGCCAUCCUUGAGACUGGACAGAACUAAAUUGCGCAGCUUGUAUGAUGUAGAGAUCAAGUCUGAGGAUGGGUUGACAAUUAAGUGCCACAAGUGUGUCUUAGUGGCUAGACUAGAGUACUUCCAUAGUAUGUUGGCCACUGGCUGGGUAGAGACAUCAUCUUCAGAGGCCCUGAGUUUGCCUGUCCCUGGGGACAUACUCACUGUCAUCUUAGACUUCCUCUAUACUGAUGACUCAGCAUUUGUCAGAAAAUGUGAAGAUGCUGAAUUAAUAUGCAACAUUCUAGUUGUUGCUGAUCAACUUCUUAUUGGUCGAUUGAAAGAUAUCUGUGAGAUGGUCCUGUCACAACUCAUAACAUUGAAGAAUGCCACUGAGUUACUUGAGUUUGCCUCAGUGUACAACUCUCAGCAACUUAAAUCAACCUGUCAGCAAUACAUCUGCUUGAAUUUACCCACAAUUCUUGAGAUGAGAGUCCUAGAGGUUCUCAGCGAUGAUGUCAUAGAUGAACUGACAACAUAUUACAGAAAUAUGGUCCCUGAGAUGUGUCGCAGAAUAAUCACUCCAUUCGACGCACCUCCUGAUAUCUGCUACCUUGAAUCAAUCGAAAAAGAUCUACUCUUUGACAUUGAUAACAUAAGUUCAGAUUCCAAAUCUGAUCAAUUAAAGCGAAGUAAAUCCAGGAAGAGGCGAGGUAGGACAAAAAGUCAGGGGGAGGCAGGAAAACAAGGGGAUCAGAGAUCAGAGGGUUAUGGAUCCAGAUCUGUUGGUCGCCAGAUGUCAAUCAGUUCAGAAACAUCUGAUAUUUUGGAGGAUGUUGAUGAAAUCUUGGAUGAUGAGACUAUUCCACUGAAGUCCCCUUUGGAAAUUCAACCACAUAUUGUGAUCCCUAGUCGAAACUUCAAUUCUGUGUGGUCUCAAAAGUCACCUAGGCAGCAACAAAGCCAAAGUUCUCCCACAAUGCACCUGUCUCCUGUGUCACCACUGGCCACAACUGGUUACCAAGGUGAUGGCGAUGUGACAGGAACAUCUCCUCCAGUUCAUAUGUAUGGAUUACGUGAUAUCAUGUUAGAAGAGGCGAUCAAAAAGGCUGAGAUUGAAAGAAAUGAAAAAACCAAGCUUGUUAGUAGUGUUCCAAGGUUUGCUAAAUUGUCCCAGAAAGAACGCAAGAAACUUCAGCAUAAAAGAGUUGAGCAGGAGAAGCAAGACCAGCAUAAACAGAUUGCUCCUGCCUCAGCAUGGGGUAAUGUCAACACUGUAGUGCAAUCCUUCAAAGACCUUAUGGUAGGAGAGGAUAAUAAACAAACAAAGCAGAUCUCCAAGGCAACCACUCCGACAUCUGUUCCCAUAGUGACAGUUGCCGCAACAUCUCCAAAAACAAGUGUCAUUCCACCAAAGUCUGCACACAUUUCUCCCAGUAAACCAAUCGGAAGUAAAUCAACUUUAUUCAGUUGGGGAUUGCCUACCAGUUCUGUCCAGUCACAGAAAGAUUCCAAUGAAAAUGAAGUUGCCAUUCCCACAUCACCCCCUGAGAACCCAUGGCAGAGACCACUGGCGAAUGUAGCUGCAACUAAAAAAUCUUUAAGUUUCUCAGAUAUUGUUCAUGAUGAAAUGAUCCAGAAACAAACACACGACAGGACAACCAAUAAACCUCUACAUUUAAUACAGAUAGAGGAACAGGCAAUACUAGAACUACUGGAACAAUACAAACAGGCUGAAAACUUUGAUGAAAGAAUCUCAAUACAGAGAGUAGCUGUUUCCAUGGCAGCACCCACAUGGGCAGCCCAUACCAAACAGAACAUUUAAUAUGAUAACCAAACAUUGUGGUUAAUAACAUGUGAUGCCUUCAAAACAGAAGUUAGAAUGAUUUAACCAUGGUCAGAUAGGUCAAUGGUAGCAUGACUUGGCCAUGGUCAGAUACAUGUAGAUCAAGGGUACACAGGCAAAUUACAUCAGACCCGUACAAGCCCUUACGGAGCUUGUAGAGUCAACAGGCCCUUUACAACCUUGUACAGGCCUCCUUACGAGGCUCGUAAUUGCUUGUAAUUGCCGAGCCUCGUAAGAGCUUGUGAUUACAAAGCUUGUAAUAGCUCGUGAUUUUCGAUCCCCUAUCCCCGUACUUGACCGUACUGUGCCCGUAAUGAGCCCCGUAAUAAAUCGUUAUUUCCAAUCCCCAUACUUGCGCGUACAAUGCAUGUAAGGGGCCCCGCA
RNAcentral lists this unclassified non-coding RNA (4801 nucleotides) under Owenia fusiformis. RNAcentral's name for it is "misc RNA OFUS_LOCUS22772". The record is from RNAcentral. Lineage: Eukaryota; Metazoa; Annelida; Polychaeta; Sabellida; Oweniidae.